Molecule: long non-coding RNA, 870 nt
Filed under: Aotus nancymaae (Ma's night monkey)
Lineage: Eukaryota; Metazoa; Chordata; Mammalia; Primates; Aotidae
Description: lncRNA (ENSANAG00000038665.1)
Source: RNAcentral
UUCUAACUGUGUUGCUGCUUGUGUGGAAAACAAGGCUGAAAAAUGGGUGUGGAAGAGAACGGUGGCUGCCAAGGACAUGUGCUAUUUGCAGACACAAGAGGAAUAACACCCUGGUUGAGCUCUCAAGUGAAAUAAGGAUAACAACACCUGACUCACAUGGUUAGGGUCAGGAUUACAUGGGAUGGCCUACAUAAAAGUGCCAGGCACAUCACAGGUGCAGGGAAAUAUCAGUUCCUUUCUUCGUCUCCUCUGGACCCCACGAGACAGCUCCCUGAAGGCUGAUCGUCUCUCUCCCACUAAAUCAGGAUAGAGAAGAGGGUUUCCUCCCUGUGAGAGCUUCAAUUAUCUCCUUUCACUGGACAUGGCUAACUCUUCGGGAAGUGCUAAACUCUCACAGUAAAGUAAAACAGGGGUUAAAGGCAAAUGUUUAACCAAUCAUGUUCAAAUACAAGCUAACAGAUGAAGAAUUUUAAGCUCAAAGAGUCAAAUACUCUGCAUUCCUGAGAAAUCUUCAGUUUCUUAUUCUUGGAAAUGUUUUCACAUUGCAUUUUGCUGCCACAGCCAAAUGGACCCUGCCUAGGAGACCUGGAGGCCACAGCCAAGUUCCCUUGUACACCAUCCCUUUCUCUGAAGCUCCAGCUAGACCUCCAGUGGGAUCAGGAACUUCUCAUUGGGCUAUCACCUGGACCACCUGACUGGCCCUGUCCUGCCACUCACGGCAGCCACAGUGAUCUGUUAAAAUGUAAGUCAGUUCCUAUCACUUGUCUGCUUGAAACUCUCCAGUGGUUUUCCAUCACACUUAAAAGGAAACCCAAAUUCCAGACUCUGAGGUGCAAGACCUUCAGGAUGUGCUCCCUGGCUUCCUGCUGA